AGUGAACGCUGGCGGUAGGCCUAACACAUGCAAGUCGAACGGCAGCACAGUAAGAGCUUGCUCUUACGGGUGGCGAGUGGCGGACGGGUGAGGAAUACAUCGGAAUCUACUUUUUCGUGGGGGAUAACGUAGGGAAACUUACGCUAAUACCGCAUACGACCUACGGGUGAAAGCAGGGGAUCUUCGGACCUUGCGCGAUUGAAUGAGCCGAUGUCGGAUUAGCUAGUUGGCGGGGUAAAGGCCCACCAAGGCGACGAUCCGUAGCUGGUCUGAGAGGAUGACCAGCCACACUGGAACUGAGACACGGUCCAGACUCCUACGGGAGGCAGCAGUGGGGAAUAUUGGACAAUGGGCGCAAGCCUGAUCCAGCCAUACCGCGUGGGUGAAGAAGGCCUUCGGGUUGUAAAGCCCUUUUGUUGGGAAAGAAAAGCAGCAGGUUAAUACCCCGCUGUUCUGACGGGACCCAAAGAAUAAGCACCGGCGAACUUCGG
Molecule: ribosomal RNA, 491 nt
Filed under: uncultured bacterium
Lineage: Bacteria
Description: partial 16S ribosomal RNA
Rfam family: Bacterial small subunit ribosomal RNA
Source: RNAcentral